Molecule: small RNA, 127 nt
Filed under: Marmota monax (woodchuck)
Lineage: Eukaryota; Metazoa; Chordata; Mammalia; Rodentia; Sciuridae
Source: RNAcentral
GCUGGGAGUGGUGGCACAUGCCUGUAAUCCCAGCAGCUCAAGAGGCUGAGGCAGGAGGAUCACGAGUUCAAAGCCAGCCUCAGCAACUUAGUGAGACACUAAGCAACUCAGUGAGACCCUGUCUCUA